This 6743-nucleotide unclassified non-coding RNA is filed under the name Limulus polyphemus (Atlantic horseshoe crab). Its description in RNAcentral is "probable E3 ubiquitin-protein ligase RNF217, transcript variant X2". The record is from RNAcentral. Lineage: Eukaryota; Metazoa; Arthropoda; Merostomata; Xiphosura; Limulidae.
UUUUUUUUCUUUUCUUAAAUCUCCAUGAAAUGAACGUUACGUCGCAAGGAGUCGCAGGAUAACACAUUACUGUCAUUAGCACAAUAGCAGCAGACAACUUCACGCAUAGAAUUUAGUUCAGUUGCUUGAAAAUUGUGGAGCUGUGCUGUAGCGUUCAUUCACAUACUGUUCUUUCCAUAGUUCACUAAGGUAACGCACUAGAGCAGAAAGAACAGUCCAAGUGCAACAUUUCUCGGUAAUAUUUGAGCGUUUUAACACUUUGGUUUGAGUUGACAGCGUGACGGUAUUUCACUUAAAUGACAACUGUGACCGAAUUAUCUAUCGAUGUAAAGGACAGAGAAUUGUACGAGUGGAACUUUGAAAAAGAAAAAGUUGAUGGUUCCAACUCGUUAGGCUCAGCGAUACAUGUCAGUGGACAUACAUUGGAUAGUCUGGCUAGUCAUAUUAAUCGGACUACAAGUAUGGAUGAAGGUGAUGACCAAGAGUCUCCGGAAAACUAUUCUCCUCUAGACAUGGGUAACUUGAAAUUUCUUUUAGAGUGCUUUUUCCUUUCAUUCGGACCAGAGUUUCCACAACUGGGUAGGAACCAUCCGAGAUCGAACCCAGAGUAUUUCGAAACCUCAUUUUCUGGGGAAUUUGAAUCCGAGAUAUCCAGUUCCAGCAGUCGAUCUUCUCAAAUAUCCGUAGAUCUUGAUCCUGUGUUUUUCAGACAACCUGGCGUUUUCGCCCCUCGCCAUGGAACACAUACCCAAAUAGUAAAUGACGAUGAUGUAGCUAUGGAGACACUGGUGCCGUUUGGCGACAAUGUUCUUUUAAGAGAAUUGUCAGAAAUGCGUGUGAUUCUUGAAAGAAUUCUAGACACCCGGGAACAAUGGAAUAACGACCAUGAAAUUUUGGAUAUUCUUGAAUUCUUGGAAAGUCAUUCUUCUCACAGUGACCCAACGGCUCAUUUUCCAGUGGGAGAAUUGGAUUGUGUGGAGUGUGGGAUCUGCCUGGAAGUUCACUGGUUAUAUCGCCGACCGUGCUGUAAUUACUCAGCAUGUAACAAUUGUCUUCAUCUGUACUUUACCACUAAGGUGGAAGAGGGGUUUGUCAAGAUUCAGUGUUGUAACUACUCGUGCUAUAACUUUGUUCAUAGAGACGAGAUCUCCGCCCGCUUGACUUCGUCCACCAAAGAAAUUUUCAACAAGCUUUUGGUGCGAGCUAAUGAAGACGACUAUACAAAAACCUGCCCUCGUUGUAGCCACGUAAUGAAGUUGAAUUCCAGUGAACAGAGGAAACUUUGGGCUAAUGUACGCAAGGUGAAAUGUCCAGAGUGUCAAUUAGAUUGGUGUUUUAGCUGCCAUGCCCCAUGGCACGUUGACUUAACAUGUAAAGAAUACAUGAAAGGAGAUCGACUUGUUAAAUCGUGGGCUAGAAAAACUACUCAUGGUCAAUUCAACGCCCAGCGUUGCCCAAAAUGUAAGAUCUAUAUCCAGAGGUCAAGUGGGUGUGAUCAUAUGCACUGUAGUCGUUGUAAAACAGAUUUUUGCUAUAGAUGUGGUGAGCGUUUCCGAGGACUCAAAUUUUUUGGAGAUCACUAUAGCAAACUGAGUGUAUUUGGCUGUAAAUACCGAUACAAGUUGGACAAACCUGUGGAAAGAAAGCUAGUGCGUGGUGCUAUUUUUGGUGGAAAGUUAAUGGUGGCUCCUGUUUUAGGAUCUUUUGCACUAUGUGCAGGUGCAAUGGCGGUAAGUGUAGGUGUGUUUGCUCUUCCGUUCUACAGUGGAGUAAAACUAUAUCAGCAUUACCAGGCUAAGAAAAGACUGACCAUCACAGGUACUCAGCACCAGUCCUCCGUAGGCCAGGGUCAUAUUGCAUGGGAACUAGAUGGUGUAUAAUGGUCAGAUGUAUCAGCUGAAAGUGAGGAAUUUUCAUUUGAUCAUCUUGAUCAGCCUAACAUGAAGACAAGUUUGAAACUGUUCUGUGAGGAUACCAUGUUUUCUUUGCUAAAGAGGAAGUUUUGAUACUUGAUGAAUUAAUUCUCUUAGUCAUCUGUAUUGGUUCCUAAUCCAGUUAACAUAGUCCAGCUAUCCAUGUUCACUUUUUUUAUUGAAAUAUACUGAUGUCGUGAACUAUAUAUGUAUACUGUUAAGUUCAGUUGUUUAUUAAUAUAUAUUCCUUAAAUAUCCAGUAUACCUGAUACCUAACUUUACUUUUAAGAUGAGCUACAGCUACUGAAUUUUGUAUCACUAAUGCGAUGAGAUAACAUUUAUUGGAGAUAUUUUAAUUUAAGUUAUCUGUAUCAGAUGAAGAUCAAAUUCUGUAUGUAAUUGUUGAGGCUUUUUUAUUUCUUGUUUUCAUUUGUAACUUGAUGUUUUUGUAAAGUUUUAGAAAUACAUUAUGGUUGGUAAAUGUAUUACCAUUGACUUCUGUUUAAAAGAAAUAUGGAGUUGUACUGUUAACUGACUCUUUGAAAAGUCUGUGUACUUUGUAUCCUACCAGCUCAUAAAAAAUUUGUUAUCCUGUCUUUGAGAUUUGUACACUUUGAGUUGUACAGUCAUUCACAGGAAGCUCAUAAUCUUGGCUUGAAGUUUAUAUUGUACAAUCACUUACAGGAAAUCUGUAAUCUUGGUGUGAAGUUUGUAUAUGUUGAGUUGUACAAUCAUUUACAGGAACCCAUAAUCCUGUCUUUUAUAGGAAGUCUGUAAUCUUGGUGUGAAAUCUGUACACCUGGCUCUGUACAAGCAUUCACAGGAAAUUCAUAAUCUUGGUGUGAAUUUUGUACAUUUUGAGUUGUACAAUCUUUCACAGGAAGUUUGUAAUCUUGUACAUCUUGAGUUGCACAAUCAUUCACAAGAAGUCCAUAAUUUUGGCAGGAAGUUUGUACAUUUUGAAAUGUACAGUCAUUUACGUGUACAUGAAUUCCUUGUGUAUUGACAUACAUUAUGCUAAUACAAGAGUAAAUUGACCAACAAUGAGUGAUCUAUAGACGUAAGGAAGUUUUUUAUGUAGAGAAAAUCCUGUAUGUUUCAACAGAAUGUUGGAUUGUCUUUUUCAGGUAUGCAUACAGAGUUUAUAUACAAAAUUAAUAUAUAUAUAUAUAUAUAAAGAAAAAAGAUGCAAGAGUUUAUAAUAUGCAAGAGUAUUGUCACAUAACAGUGAAAUUUACAACAGGUGUAUGACUUAAGUAAAGCUCAGGGCUGGUCGAGUAUGGGAAUGAAAGCUAAAUAUAUAAAGUCAGCCAAGUUUUGUUGAUGCUACUAGAGUCAUCGUUAUACUUUAGGGAAAAUCACCUGCUUAAGUAAUUUCCAUUCUUUCUAAACAAUUUAUUUUUUGGUUGGUGUAGGAGAACAAUUUUAUCCCAAAGUAUGUUAUGAUUUUAUUGGAAUUGAUAACUUAUUAAGGGAGAUUUCUCAAAUUUAUAUCUGUGUGUGUGUGUGUGUGUGUGUGUGUCCUUGGUGUGUCUGAUUUUCAAGGAACCAGAUAUAUUUAUCCUUACCACAUUCACUGUAUACACGUUGCUUUUCUCCCUUAGGUAGAGUUUGUUUCAAGUCAGGUAAUAAGGUACUUAUCUUAUGUGAAGGCUUAAAUACAGUAUUUCAGUUACUGGUAAAAUCAGUAAAAAUUUCUGGCAUAAAAGGAAAUGAAACAAAGUUCUGUUUUUUGUUAUUCAUAAGGAAAUAACUGGAAUUAGCAUAAAAAAGUUUUAUGGUUUUGAAGUUUAGUAAAAGCUCUAUCUAUGAAAUUAAGGUUAAACCAUCUAGAUAGAACUACAAUAUUGUAGUAGUUCAGUACAGUUUGUUGGUACAAAACUGUAUAGCAUGGUUUACAUUGGUAAAGUAGGAGGUAAUUAGAUCUUGUGUGAAGGGGGGUAUGUUUCUUUUUGUAUACACUGAUGUUCACUUUAUUUUUCUUUAUGUUAAAAUCUAAGAAGGACAGACAACUGUCAGAUUCUAUUUCAUAAGUGAAAAUUAUGACUUUUGGGUCCUGUUGUUUAAAAAUUGUAUAAUGUUAAGUAGAUUGUCUUUCCCAUGUCACAUACACUAAAAAUAUUGUCAGUGUAUGUGUGAAUUUAUUCUCAUAGUGUUCUUCUAGAAUCGACAUGUAAAGGUCAUUAAGUAGAAGGGAAUAUCCCAUAGCUAGGCCACUGUUUUGUUUAUAGAACUAACCAUUGUAGGUAAAAUAAGUGUCGUUAACACGGUAUUAUGUUAGGUUGAUUAAGUGGUCGAUAUCAUUAGAAACUGUUUUGUUCUAGCUUAGUUCUUAAAGUAAAACUUGUUCAACAGGUAUUGAAGUAAAGAAAGAUUUUGUCAAAAGCCACUAAAAUAUCUUCUUGAUCUCAUUCAAAGUUUUUGAUUCUAUCCACAAAGUUUAUACUAUACAUUUAUGUAUAUUAUAAACUGUUUUGUCUUUUGAAUUUAUAUAUAUUGUAUGCUUGGUUGUAUAUCAUACUUGAAGAAAACAGAAAAAAGAUGUUGUAUGUCAAUAUUUAAAGUUUUUCUAUAUUUUUAAAUCAUUGUUGGUCAUUUUACUAUUACAUGAAAUCUAUAAUUUUGACUUGAAGUUUGUGUUCUUUGAGUUGUGCAAUAAUUCACAGGAACUCCAUAAUCUUGGUGUGGAACUUGUACGCUUUGAAUUGCACAAUCAUUCAUAAUCUUAUCUCAAAGUUUGUAUAUCUUGGAUCGUAGACUUUACAGAAAUUUCAUAAUCUCUUGCUUUGAAAUCUGUAUACUUUAGAUCUUGUCAGACUUUCAAGAAAAUUUAUAUUCUUGUCUUUAUUAUCUGCUUACCUUUGGUCUUACCAGACUUCAAAGUUUGUGACCUGACUUUAAAGUUUGUAUACUGCGGGUCCUUCUAAUGUUUAUAAUGUUGGUGUUAAAUUAUAAAGUUUAUAUUGGAGGUCAGAUAGUGGAAAGUUAAUUGUUGUAUAGAAAUUGAAGCAUUACUAUGAACUAAGUUUGUUACAAAAGUAGAAUUGUUAAAUGAGUAAAUGAGAAACUACAGACUUUAAAAAGGAGAAUUCUUGCUAUGUUUAAAUACUGUAAAAAAGAUAAAGAAUUAUUGAGUUAUGAUUAUUGUCUGAAAGAUAAGUUACAAGUAUGAAAUGAACAUACCUAUUUAUGUAUUUUGUAUUGAAUUUUCCUACAUUUUCAAAAAUGUGGUUUGUGAGUUAACUGCUUUAAAUGUUUAAUAGUGGCUAAAGCUUACCAAAGUAUACUUUUACUGUUUUAAAUGUUCUUAAUGUACACUUUUUGAUGAGAAUACUUGUGUACAUACUUCAGUAACAAAACAUACUUUUCUUUGAGUAUUGAUUGUUUGUGAGAUUAUCAUUUAAUAUGUCACACAAAACAGGAAUUAUUGUAGACUUUUUCUUUAGCCUUUAUCAUGUGUUAUAUUUGUAAUUAUUCUAUCUCUAAGCUAAUGUUUUGUAUAGUAUCUAGUCUGGUACAACUUUAGCAAGUUUCAUUGUGAAAAAAUAAAUGUAAAUAUAAUGGCAAAAUCGGUUGAAGAAUUUUAGUUUUCCUUGAUAAAUUAUUGCCUUCAUAGAGCCAGCAGUAUAUAAAAAGAAAAAAAAAGUUUACACGUGUAAAUUACAAAACAAAUUGCUCUGAUUUUAAGUUUUGUUGAGCCUACACAUAAGAUUAUUAUAUAAUAAACAAUGCUUAGGUGUAGAAUUUUUAGACUUAGGAAAAUCUAGAUUUUUUAUUUUGUUUUGGUUGAAUUUAUGAAGAGUUUCUAGUCAGCUGAAUGAAGUAACAUACACACUGAUAUGUAGUGGUAACAUAAGUUGAAAGCUGAGUAAUAAGAUAAUAUUUAAAUACAGUUUGAAGUGUUUCUCUUUGAGACUUUUUAAUCUCUUGGUGCAGAUAUUAAACAGAUUAAUAUUGGAAUAAAAAGCCUUUUGAGACUAUACAUUUUUAAUAACUAUAUUUCUAAUAUAAAUUUACUUGAUAUUUUAUUAAUUUUUUGUUGGUUAGGUUCUUGCCUGUAUAACAAAGUGUUUAAAUUGACUUGUAAGAUACAUUUUUACAUUAAUGUUUUAAAUUUUUCAUGGAAAGAAUUAAAAAUUACAUGUUUAAGAAAAUUUAUAAAUUAUGAAGUAAGAUGAUGCAGGAACAAAAUUUAAUAUACUUCAUCUAUGAUGACACUGGCUAUUGUAAAUUAAAUAGAAUGUUUAGAAGGGGUGGGGUAAUAUAUAGUUUCUGGAGAUUUAAUUCAGUAACUGGUAUUCAUAGUCUUUAUUAUUGUAUGUCAUUCAAUGUUAUAUUGUCUUCCUAUCCAGUGGCAUAACUACAAAAGUUGGGCUCCCCAACUUUUAGUUCCUUAUAAUUGUAGUUACUGGCUUAUUGAUAUCAUUAACUUAAUUGAAGAUUUAACCAAACUUAAAAUUGCAUCUAGUGUUAAUUUUCGAAUUACACAAGUAUCAGAUUUCAGGCCAGUUAGUUCAUGCAUUGGUGAAAGAGAAGUACGUAGUAGUAUACAUGGUGUAACUAUACUUAUAUUUCCAUCAUGACUGUAUGGACCAUUAACCAAGACAGUCAGUGUAUGGACUCAGUCUGCUGUCCUUUCUCUAAAUGUUUUUACUAUGCCAGAAUAGUUCAGGUGCUCUUUAGUUCAAAUGAAAUUGUAUGUUUCUCCUUGUUGACAAUUCUUAAGUUUGUCAGGCCCUUUGGAUCAUCUUUUUGCUCCCCCCCUCCUGCAAUUGCAGGAGCUGUGAAGGCAUACUUAUACCACUGUUCGUAUUCUUCUACAUUAAUAUA